ACUACGUCGAAAGAGAUAUCCAUAAUUAAUCCUCGGAACAUUUAUGCCGGAAAUGUUUAUAGUAACGGCAAUAGGUCUUUGUUUAUUUGUUUAUGUGACCUGAUAUCUCAGUGUGCCACUGACGUUGGACAAAACUUACUGAUAUCUGCCUUGGCUGUUUCCAACAUUGGUUCCUGUAAAACAAACGUGAAGCGUAUACAAAUGAACGUAAUGUUCUUAAAUAUUUUACCACCCACAGUGAAGUCUCAAAUACAGCCAGAUCAUGGAAAAUCUGAAAACAAAGUUGUGUGACAUAGACAGGCAGAAUCGAAGGCAUGGAGAUUUUAGAGAAGUGUGGCUGCGUUGAUGUGGGGAUGUGGUCGUGAAUUUUUCUGCAUGUUUGUCUAGUGAGGAGUGUUGAGAGACCAAUGAAUAGAGUACAACCAUUUUUCAAGUCGUUGAGCUAACUUAUAAGAUCUGUAUACAUAAGGUGUAAAUGCUUUUGGAAGUGUGUUUAUUAAAAUAUUAGCCUGUGGUUCAAGAUGCUGUACGUUCAGGAAAAU
This is a long non-coding RNA of Schistocerca nitens (vagrant locust), 542 nucleotides long. RefSeq lists it as uncharacterized. The record is from RefSeq and is a predicted model, not a curated record. NCBI's taxonomy places the organism in Eukaryota, Metazoa, Arthropoda, Insecta, Orthoptera, Acrididae. The transcript is spliced from 3 exons.